UGAAUACUGACGUGUGUGUGUGUGUGUGUGUGUGUGUGUAUUCAUCCUGUGGCGGUAAUUGUCUCUGUUGUUGCUCGGUUUUGCUGAUUGAGGAAUUGUGUGAAUCUAUUUGUGCUCUUUUUAGCGCUGUCACUCUGUGAUGGUGACAAAAGACCAGUGGGGCACAUUCAGAAAAUGAUCAACAUUAUUAAUCAUAUUCAGUUCAUACUUUGGCUGUACUUUCUGCAAGAAUGGAAUCAAUAUAGGAUGUGUUACAGGAAAUUCCUGUGGAAAUCAGGCAGGAGUAGAGAGGGGCUUGUGCAGUUAGAUGCUCUGCUGUGGGUGCAGGAGAUUCCACGUCUCUCAUUGGUGGAGGCGGAAAGAGGCGAGCAGCAACAGCGGCGACAGCAGCGACACACACCUGUCACUGUCACCGCGGCCAGGAGGGAGACGCCGUCUUUCACGCUCAGUAGACCUGUCCACAGUUUGAAACCUUCCACUCCUACC
Long non-coding RNA from Denticeps clupeoides (denticle herring), 486 nucleotides. NCBI's taxonomy places the organism in Eukaryota, Metazoa, Chordata, Actinopteri, Clupeiformes, Denticipitidae. The record is from Ensembl.